RNAcentral lists this ribosomal RNA (254 nucleotides) under uncultured bacterium. RNAcentral's name for it is "partial 16S ribosomal RNA". It matches the Rfam family "Bacterial small subunit ribosomal RNA", at positions 524 to 776 of the family's 1533-position model. The record is from RNAcentral.
UACGUAGGGUGCGAGCGUUAAUCGGAAUUACUGGGCGUACAGCGUGCGCAGGCGGUCUGUUAAGACCGAUGUGAAAUCCCCGGGCUUAACCUGGGAACUGCAUUGGUGACUGGCAGGCUUUGAGUGUGGCAGAGGGAGGUAGAAUUCCACGUGUAGCAGUGAAAUGCGUAGAGAUGUGGAGGAAUACCGAUGGCGAAGGCAGCCUCCUGGGCCAACACUGACGCUCAUGCACGAAAGCGUGGGGAGCAAACAGG